Molecule: transfer RNA, 64 nt
Filed under: Dipodomys ordii (Ord's kangaroo rat)
Lineage: Eukaryota; Metazoa; Chordata; Mammalia; Rodentia; Heteromyidae
Rfam family: tRNA
About the family: Transfer RNA (tRNA) molecules are approximately 80 nucleotides in length. Their secondary structure includes four short double-helical elements and three loops (D, anti-codon, and T loops). Further hydrogen bonds mediate the characteristic L-shaped molecular structure. tRNAs have two regions of fundamental functional importance: the anti-codon, which is responsible for specific mRNA codon recognition, and the 3' end, to which the tRNAs corresponding amino acid is attached (by aminoacyl-tRNA synthetases). tRNAs cope with the degeneracy of the genetic code in two manners: having more than one tRNA (with a specific anti-codon) for a particular amino acid; and 'wobble' base-pairing, i.e. permitting non-standard base-pairing at the 3rd anti-codon position.
Source: Rfam by way of RNAcentral
GGUGGCUCAGUGGUAGAGUGCUUGCCUAGCAUUCAUGAGGCCCUGGGUUCGAUUCCUAGCACCA